UACGGAGGGUGCAAGCGUUAUCCGGAAUCACUGGGCGUAAAGGGAGCGCAGACGGAACUGCAAGUCUGAUGUGAAAGCCCGGGGCUCAACCGCGGGACUGCAUUGGAAACUGUAGAUCUGGAGUGCCGGAGGGGCAAGCGGAAUUCCUGGUGUAGCGGUGAAAUGCGUAGAUAUCAGGAGGAACACCGGCGGCGAAGGCGGCUUGCUGGACGGCAACUGACGUUGAGGCUCGAAAGCGUGGGGAGCAAACAGGAUUAGAUACCCGGGUA
This 269-nucleotide ribosomal RNA is filed under the name uncultured prokaryote. RNAcentral describes it as "partial 16S ribosomal RNA". It matches the Rfam family "Bacterial small subunit ribosomal RNA", at positions 524 to 792 of the family's 1533-position model. The record is from RNAcentral.